UGAGUAGGACAAUAUGAUCGCAGCUGCAUAGGCCGAAAGGCUGCAGGUGAGGAAAGUCCGGGCUUCAUAGGGCAGGAUGCCGGAUAACGUCCGGUGGAGGUGACUCCAAGGCUAGUGCAACAGAAAUAUACCGCCAUUUGUUUCUUAGGAAACAAGAAGAACAGCGAAGCUGUUCUGAAGUACAUCUUUAGAUGUACUUUGGUAAGGGUGGAAAGGCAGUGUAAGAGACUACCGCCCUUUUGGUAACAAAAGGGGCAGCUGUAAACCCCAUCCGAAGCAAGACCCAAUAGAAAGUGGUGCAGUAGCCCGCUGUGCUUUCGGGUAGGUCGCUUGAGCUUGUUGGUAACAACAAGACUAGAUAGAUGAUCAUACUUUACUUGUCAUAGACAAGUAAAGAACAGAACUCGGCUUACGGUACUGCUCAUUUG
Molecule: RNase P RNA, 428 nt
Filed under: Clostridiales bacterium
Lineage: Bacteria; Bacillati; Bacillota; Clostridia; Eubacteriales
Description: RNase P RNA component class A
Rfam family: Bacterial RNase P class A
About the family: Ribonuclease P (RNase P) is a ubiquitous endoribonuclease, found in archaea, bacteria and eukarya as well as chloroplasts and mitochondria. Its best characterised activity is the generation of mature 5'-ends of tRNAs by cleaving the 5'-leader elements of precursor-tRNAs. Cellular RNase Ps are ribonucleoproteins.
Source: RNAcentral